Aedes albopictus (Asian tiger mosquito) is the source of this 118-nucleotide non-coding RNA. The record is from Rfam. Lineage: Eukaryota; Metazoa; Arthropoda; Insecta; Diptera; Culicidae.
UGCACAGCAACUCCUAUCCCUACCUCCACGCGGUACCGGCCGGAAACUAUGAGCAACCUUAGGGAAGAUCGGGUAACCAACCCCGGUGGGAACUUUGGUCGUAGGCUGACAGGGAAGG